This is a long non-coding RNA of Zea mays, 1696 nucleotides long. RefSeq lists it as uncharacterized. Lineage: Eukaryota; Viridiplantae; Streptophyta; Magnoliopsida; Poales; Poaceae. The record is from RefSeq and is a predicted model, not a curated record. The transcript has 3 exons.
AAUGGCUCUUUGUUGACAACAAGCAGCCUUUCUAAUAAAUCUGCAGAUGCAGUGGUCACAGUAUCUAAUAGACCUGUAAUAGUUCAAAGCCCUGAACCUUCUUUAGACACACAGUUUGUGCAUAACCCAUCAGGCAAAUGUACCUCAGAAUCAAUUCUACAAAAUAACAACAUUCCUGAUUCUGCUUCAGUUCCUUCAAAAGAAAAUGAUCAUAUCGUGUUAAAAGGUGAUAUUUGUGAAGAAACCCUCAUGGGUACUAAAACUGCUAAUGGUUCUUGGGAUUGUAGUGAACUAAAUAAUGAUUCCUGUGGGAAAACUUCAGCCCUUUGCAUGAAAUUGAAUCGGCCUGCACUUAAUGUUACACAAGCCACAUCUGUACCUGAUCGAUACUCUUCGUCUUUGGAGAAAGCCAGUGAAAAUGUGGCCGCAAGUGGUGUCAAAGAGACAAAAACAUUUGGCUCAGCUGUUUGUGAUGUUGACAGAAGUUCAGAACCAAUUGACUGUUCAAACAACAAUGUGACGAGCAACACAAUGCGACAUAGUGAGACUAUUGUAGUGGAUUCAGUGAACAAUGUGGGGGAUACAGCAAGCAACUCUUCACUGGCUACUAAAUCAUCCAGUAUACAAUCUGAUGCAGACACCCGGACGUCUGAAUUGUAAGGUCGAAGAUCUUAUUUUUAUGCUGAUGUUACCAUUAAUGUUUUGUUUAACAUGAAUGCAUGAUGUAUUUUGUACCUACAUAUCUAUGUCUGCUAUUCUGUGAUUUUAGUACAUGUGCCAUUUCUAUUUUUGACAUGCAUCUUUUCCCAAGUCGUGUUAUGAUGGGACUUCUCAUUUUUCUGGAUGACCUGAGAUGAUUAUUUUCGUCAAAGAUGUCUGCUUUUGAAAUCGCAUAUGCAAAACUGGGUCUAUGUGAUGACUUAAGACCUAGAAGAAUACAUGCAACAUCUUUCUGCUGGCAUGUGGGUAGGGCAUUGACUCUAAAAACUAGAAUUUAAUUCUCCCUGUUUUCUACAAAUAAUAGGCAAAAUGCUUGGGUUAUGAUAAUUUUGGUGAUGUAUAUGUGUGGACUAUUCACUUAUGCUGCACAAUUCUCUCUUAAAAAUAUGAAAUAGCUGGGCGCUGUUUUCUACUUGAGUGUGCACGUGAUGCUUUAUCUGGACACUGUUAAUUGAUUGGUUUUUUGAGCUGGUCGAGAUUAAUUCUGCAGAACAGAAAUUUGUUAUUAUUGGGACAUGCUUGAACCAUGAUAAUAUCCAUUGUUUCACCAAGUUGUGCAUAUAUUGGUACAAAUACAAAGGUAUGUAAGCUGUUUUGUGCUCUUAUAAACAGGUGUAUGCACAGUUUAGUCAAGGAAACCCGUGUAAACGAUUUGUAACAGGUGAAACCUUUCUGUUGCAUUUUUAUGUUUAGUUGUCAUGUAAUUUGGUGCUUUAUCAGGUGCAGGAAUAGCUGAAGCAGACUCUUGCGCCUCCGGUGCAGGAAUAUCCUUAGAGCCUAGAUCUUCCUAGAAUUGAUCGGACUGUCCGAUGCUCGCUUAGAUCACAAGGUGCUCAUAUACCAACCUUUGAGCCUGUUCCUGAGUCAAGUGUCUCGACAGUUGACGACAGAACUCCUGAGGACAAAGAAAGGUGGUGGAGGAGGGGCUUGAGAGCCAUUUCAGAGGGGAAGUUGGCUAUUGUUUUAUUGGCUGGUG